AUACGGAGGGUGCGAGCGUUGUUCGGAAUUACUGGGCGUAAAGCGGGUGUAGGCGGUGGAUCAAGUCAGAUGUGAAAGCCCUCGGCUCAACCGAGGAAGUGCAUCUGAAACUGGUUCACUAGAGUACGGGAGAGGAGAGUGGAAUUCCCAGUGUAGAGGUGAAAUUCGUAGAUAUUGGGAGGAACACCGGUGGCGAAGGCGGCUCUCUGGAACGAUACUGACGCUGAGACCCGAAAGCGUGGGGAGCAAACAGGAUUAGAAACCCCAGUAGUCC
Molecule: ribosomal RNA, 274 nt
Filed under: uncultured bacterium
Lineage: Bacteria
Description: partial 16S ribosomal RNA
Rfam family: Bacterial small subunit ribosomal RNA
Source: RNAcentral